This 394-nucleotide ribosomal RNA is filed under the name uncultured bacterium. Its description in RNAcentral is "bacterial SSU rRNA". It matches the Rfam family "Bacterial small subunit ribosomal RNA", at positions 29 to 421 of the family's 1533-position model. The record is from RNAcentral.
AUUGAACGCUGGCGGCAUGCCUUACACAUGCAAGUCGAACGGCAGCACGGGAGCAAUCCUGGUGGCGAGUGGCGAACGGGUGAGUAAUAUAUCGGAACGUGCCCAGUCGUGGGGGAUAACGCAGCGAAAGCUGUGCUAAUACCGCAUACGAUCUCUGGAUGAAAGCGGGGGACUCGCAAGGGCCUCGCGCGAUUGGAGCGGCCGAUAUCAGAUUAGCUAGUUGGCGGGGUAAAGGCCCACCAAGGCGACGAUCUGUAGCUGGUCUGAGAGGACGACCAGCCACACUGGAACUGAGACACGGUCCAGACUCCUACGGGAGGCAGCAGUGGGGGAAUUUUGGACAAUGGGCGCAAGCCUGAUCCAGCCAUUCCGCGUGCAGGAUGAAGGCCUUCGG